Molecule: ribosomal RNA, 276 nt
Filed under: uncultured bacterium
Lineage: Bacteria
Description: partial 16S ribosomal RNA
Rfam family: Bacterial small subunit ribosomal RNA
Source: RNAcentral
CUUUCCUUGCCGGCGACCGGCGCACGGGUGAGUAACACGUAUGCAACCUGCCCCUGUCAGGGGGACAACCCGCCGAAAGGCGGGCUAAACCCGCGUACAUGCCACCGGGGCAUCCCGGAGGCAGGAAAGGCUUCGGCCGGACAGGGAUGGGCAUGCGGCGCAUUAGGCAGUAGGCGGGGUAACGGCCCACCUAACCGACGAUGCGUAGGGGUUCUGAGAGGAAGGUCCCCCACACUGGUACUGAGACACGGACCAGACUCCUACGGGAGGCAGCAG